RNAcentral lists this ribosomal RNA (406 nucleotides) under uncultured bacterium. Its description in RNAcentral is "partial 16S ribosomal RNA". It matches the Rfam family "Bacterial small subunit ribosomal RNA", at positions 30 to 526 of the family's 1533-position model. The record is from RNAcentral.
AUUGAACGCUGGCGGCAGGCUUAACACAUGCAAGUCGAACGAGUGGCGGACGGGUGAGUAAUGCCUGGGAAACUGCCCGAUGGAGGGGGAUAACUACUGGAAACGGUAGCUAAUACCGCAUACCAUCGGAUGAGCCCAAAUGGGAUUAGGUAGUUGGUGAGGUAACGGCUCACCUAGGCGACGAUCCCUAGCUGGUCUGAGAGGAUGACCAGCCACACUGGAACUGAGACACGGCCCAGACUCCUACGGGAGGCAGCAGUGGGGAAUAUUGCACAAGGGGCGCAAGCCUGAUGCAGCCAUGCCGCGUGUAUGAAGAAGGCCUUCGGGUUGUAAAGUACUUUCGGCGAGGAGGCGUUACUCGCAGAAGAAGCACCGGCUAACUCCGUGCCAGCAGCCGCGGUAAUAC